UACGGAGGAUGCGAGCGUUAUCCGGAUUCAUUGGGUUUAAAGGGUGCGUAGGCGGUUUUUUAAGUCAGUGGUGAAAUCCUGCGGCUCAACCGUAGAACUGCCAUUGAAACUGAAGAACUUGAAUAUAGUUGAGGUAGGCGGAAUGUGCAGUGUAGCGGUGAAAUGCAUAGAUAUUACACAGAACACCGAUUGCGAAGGCAGCUUACUAAUCCAUCAUUGACGCUGAGGCACGAAAGCGUGGGGAUCAAACAGGAUUA
RNAcentral lists this ribosomal RNA (257 nucleotides) under uncultured prokaryote. Its description in RNAcentral is "partial 16S ribosomal RNA". It matches the Rfam family "Bacterial small subunit ribosomal RNA", at positions 524 to 780 of the family's 1533-position model. The record is from RNAcentral.